AUGGGGCGCGGGAAGGUGGAGAUGAAGAGGAUCGACAACAAAGCGUCGCGGCAGGUCACCUUCCACAAGCGCCGCCGCGGGCUGCUGAAGAAGGCGCAGGAGCUCGCCGCGCUCUGCGACGCGCACCUCGGCGUCCUCGUCUUCGACGGCACCGGCAAGCUCCACCACGACUACUGCAGCCCCCAUACCAGGUCUGUCCCAAAUAAAUUUUGUCAUUCCCGCUAUGAAGUCAACGUUGUGUAUACACAACCAAGAACCAAAAUAUAUUUUCCGUUAAAAAUAGCAUCAACACUGCAUUCAUGUUCAGAGUGGACGCGACCUCUCACUAGCGUCAGCAUUGAACAGACUCGCCGGCCGCGUCACACAAAAGUUAUGCUUAACAACAUUUAUGCACGGCUCCCUCGACGGUGCCGCUCGUACACCUUGGCCUCGGGUAGUAUCGGGCUAUCGGGAGAGAAUGUGUCCGGAUUGUGA
RNAcentral lists this ribosomal RNA (474 nucleotides) under Triticum aestivum (bread wheat). RNAcentral's name for it is "partial small subunit ribosomal RNA". The record is from RNAcentral. Lineage: Eukaryota; Viridiplantae; Streptophyta; Magnoliopsida; Poales; Poaceae.